AUCAUCACAUGAUUGGCUUUAGGGCACAUUUCCAACAAAGAAAGCUCAGCUAAUAAAACCUGGAGGGUGAAGACAAGACAAUGGUGAGUGGCCCUGUAAAUAAAGUUUUAAUAAAAACCAUGUAAAACAUUAUAACCCCUUACUACAACACCUGUAUAGUUUCCAGAAAAUUCAUAAUAUACCACAACACAGCAUUUCAUCAAUAAUAUCAAAUAAUCAUGCGAUUAAUAACUCAUACUAGUACGCAAGUCGGAGUCACCUAGGGUGACAUGUACAACUUACCCAUAUCUCAUCACAUAUGCCAGUUCAUAACAUAUUCAUUACAUAUGCUGGCUCGUCACGUACUCAUCACAUA
Molecule: long non-coding RNA, 355 nt
Filed under: Malus domestica (apple)
Lineage: Eukaryota; Viridiplantae; Streptophyta; Magnoliopsida; Rosales; Rosaceae
Description: long non-coding RNA (MDOM_LNC021144)
Source: RNAcentral